GACGAACGCUGGCGGCGUGCCUAAUACAUGCAAGUCGAGCGGACUUACAAAGCUUGCUUUUUGAGUUCGCGGCGGACGGGUGAGUAACACGUGGGCAACAUGCCUGUAUGACUUGGAUAACUUCGGAAAACCGGAGCGAAUACCGGAUAAUGCUUUUCUUCUCCCGUAGAAAAGCUGAAAGAGUGUCUACGCUGUCUGUUACAGAUGGGCCUUCGGCGCAUUAGCUAGUUGGUGGGGUAACGGCUCACUAAGGCGGCGAUGCGUAGCCGACCGGGGAGGGUGAUCGGCCACACUGGAACUGAGCCACGGCCCAGACUCCUACGGGAGGCAGCAGUAGGGAACCGUCCGCAAUGGACGAAAGUCUGACGGAGCAACGCCGCGUGAGUGAUGAAGGUGUUCGGAUCGUAAAACUCUGUUGUUAGGGAAGAACAACUACGGGAGUAACUGCUCGUACCUUGACGGUACCUAACCAGAAAGCCACGGCUAACUACGUG
Molecule: ribosomal RNA, 494 nt
Filed under: uncultured bacterium
Lineage: Bacteria
Description: partial 16S ribosomal RNA
Rfam family: Bacterial small subunit ribosomal RNA
Source: RNAcentral